ACGGGAGGCAGCAGUGGGGGAUAUUGCACAAUUGGGGAAACCCUGAUGCAGCGACGCCGCGUGAGUGAUGAAGUAUUUCGGUAUGUAAAGCUCUAACAGCAGGAAAGAUGAUGACGGUACCUGACUAAGAAGCACCGGCUAAAUACGUGCCAGCAGCCGCGGUAAUACGUAUGGUGCAAGCGUUAUCCGGAUUUACUGGGUGUAAAGGGAGCGCAGACGGCAUGGCAAGCCAGAUGUGAAAGGCAGGGGCUCAACUCCUGGACUGCAUGUGGAACUGUCAAGCUAGAGUAUAGGAGAGGUAAGUGGAAUUCCUAGUGUAGCGGUGAAAUGCGUAGAUAUUAGGAGGAACACCAGUGGCGAAGGCGGCUUACUGGACGAUAACUGACGUUGAGGCUCGAAAGCGUGGGGAGCAAACAGGAUUAGAUACCCUGGUA
RNAcentral lists this ribosomal RNA (434 nucleotides) under uncultured Lachnospiraceae bacterium. RNAcentral describes it as "partial 16S ribosomal RNA". It matches the Rfam family "Bacterial small subunit ribosomal RNA", at positions 341 to 792 of the family's 1533-position model. Lineage: Bacteria; Bacillati; Bacillota; Clostridia; Lachnospirales; Lachnospiraceae. The record is from RNAcentral.